CUCUCAGCGGAGCCGCAUUUCCACGUGGCUCGCUUUGCCCUCACCCUUCACACUCCACAGCCCAGGGAAGCUCAUGGCAGACUCCCCACCGCUCCAGCUGGGCAUUCGCGCCCGCUCCAGAGGACACUGGCCAGUGCAGUGAAGCCGCACAGGGGCACCCUGGGCUCUGAGCUCCCGGCCGCGGUGGAGGUGGCCCUCCAGGUCACGGGCCUGCCCCGCCUCUGGCCCACGGGUCUGAGCUGCUGAUUUCCCUGUCCCAGCUCAGCUCCCGCCUUUCCAACACGGAGCAGAGAAGCACGGCUGUUGGGGCUGCUGUGAGCAUAAAGCACGGUGAGUCGUGGACGAUUCUUGGCGCGAUGCCUGUUUAGCCCCCUCGGCGAGCGUGCCCUGGGCCCCCUCCCUCUCCUCCAGCGACCCGAAGCUGCUCCAGAGCUGGCAGCUUGCAGUCUGGCCCUGCUGAGGUCCAGCCCCAGCCUGCUUCCCUCUGCCGCCUGUCGCCCCGGGCACACUUGAAUCUUCAUGAGGAUGAGCGCUGCACAGGUGAUGUCUGGCCAUCCUGGUGCCCCCUGGCUCAGAGCUGCUUCAAUCGCAUCUCUGCCUCUGUCGCUGCCUGGCCUUCCUCUCCGGGGGUCUCUGUGUCUCCGGUAUGUACUACGUCUCUUAUGAGAUCAGACUUAGGGCCCAGCCAAAAUUCAGAGUGUUUUCUCUCUAAAUUACAUCUGCAAAGACCCUGCUUCCAAAGAACCAUGGUCACAGGUUCUGGGGGUAUUCAUGUCCCUCUGUCUUCCCAGGGUUCUUGUGAAAUGGAAAUGGUACUACAGGAAGCAAAACACACCUGACAGAGAGCCCCUUAUAGGAGGAGCAAGCCACGGCAGGGCCUCUGGAGCAAGCAGGUGCAAGGGCGCAGGUGCACCUGCUCCCUCCUUUGUCAGACCCCUGCUCUCAGAGCACCACGUGCAUCGCUGCUUGUCUGACCAUGUACCCCAGGAUUCCCCAGGAAGUCGGCACCCCCCCAGCUGGGUUCUGGCUGUCUUUCUGGGAGCCUUCUGAAAGGAUGCCUUUCAGGAUAAACCUUCCACCGAACCCCGGGACAGAGCCUUCGGCGCCAUGCGCUCCUCGGGGAGGGUCGCUUGUCUCGCUCUGAUUUUUGUUAUGAACGUGAGUUGGGAAAGCUGUAUAUCAAAUAGGGCCUUGCUUUAUUUUGCAAUAGAUAUAGUUUUUCACCAUGGCAGCAUCUCCCCCGGCGGGGGCCAAUUCCGGGGACACAUGUGGGAGUCGUUGUCCCUUCAAGCUCGUCAACCCGCCAGGUAGAUGUUUGAACUGCACCUUGCGUUUCUGAACAGUCUUGGGUUGUAGCAAAUGCUCGGAGGGCAGCUCUUUCAAGAGCUCCUGCUCAGUGUGGAGCGAGCGCCUGGCCCACGCACCUCCCUCUGCAAAUGAGCGCGGCGCUGGGUUUUGAAGCCCUGCGAUUGCUCACCUGGGACGUGGAAAUGUGACGUGGAAAGGCUCCAGGGGACGAGGCAGCCGGGCUACUUCAGCAAAAAUCCCCGGAAGUCGUGAGCGCAGCACCCUUCAUCGGGGUCCACAGACAGUGCUCCUAAAUUGGACUAGCUGGGCGUCUCCUGACUCUACAGCAUUUACCGGCCUGGAUUUUGUUGGAACGAACCAGUUGACUAUAGAAUCCUCAAUGGCUGUGGACGCAC
This is a non-coding RNA of Oryctolagus cuniculus (rabbit), 1703 nucleotides long. The record is from RefSeq and is a predicted model, not a curated record. NCBI's taxonomy places the organism in Eukaryota, Metazoa, Chordata, Mammalia, Lagomorpha, Leporidae.